UGAACGCUAGCGGCAGGCUUAAUACAUGCAAGUCGAGGGGCAGCAUGAAGUAGCAAUACUUUGAUGGCGACCGGCAAACGGGUGCGGAACACGUACACAACCUUCCUUUAAGUGGGGAAUAGCCCAGAGAAAUUUGGAUUAAUACCCCGUAACACAACGAAGUGGCAUCACUUUGUUGUUAUAGUUUCGGCGCUUAAUGAUGGGUGUGCGUAUGAUUAGAUAGUUGGCGAGGUAACGGCUCACCAAGUCUACGAUCAUUAGCUGAUGUGAGAGCAUGAUCAGCCACACGGGCACUGAGACACGGGCCCGACUCCUACGGGAGGCAGCAGUAAGGAAUAUUGGUCAAUGGACGCAAGUCUGAACCAGCCAUGCCGCGUGAAGGAUUAAGGUCCUCUGGAUUGUAAACUUCUUUUAGAUGGGACGAAAAAAGGUCUUUCUAGACCCCUUGACGGUACCAUAUGAAUAAGCACCGGCUAACUCCGUG
RNAcentral lists this ribosomal RNA (484 nucleotides) under uncultured bacterium. RNAcentral describes it as "partial 16S ribosomal RNA". It matches the Rfam family "Bacterial small subunit ribosomal RNA", at positions 30 to 507 of the family's 1533-position model. The record is from RNAcentral.